Molecule: ribosomal RNA, 744 nt
Filed under: uncultured archaeon S15-22
Lineage: Archaea
Description: bacterial SSU rRNA
Rfam family: Archaeal small subunit ribosomal RNA
Source: RNAcentral
UUGGGUCCGGCAUAACCCCGGGAAACUGGGGAUAAUUCCGGAUAACGCACAUAUGCUGGAAUGCUUUAUGCGUAAAAUGGAUUCGUCUGCCCAAGGAUGGGUCUGCGGCCUAUCAGGUAGUAGUGGGUGUAAUGUACCUACUAGCCAACAACGGGUACGGGUUGUGAGAGCAAGAGCCCGGAGAUGGAUUCUGAGACAUGAAUCCAGGCCCUACGGGGCGCAGCAGGCGCGAAAACUUUACAAUGCGGGAAACCGUGAUAAGGGGACACCGAGUGCCAGCAUCAUAUGCUGGCUGUCCACGUGUGUAAAAUACACCUGUUAGCAAGGGCCGGGCAAGACCGGUGCCAGCCGCCGCGGUAACACCGGCGGCCCGAGUGGUGAUCGUGAUUAUUGGGUCUAAAGGGUCCGUAGCCGGUUUGGUCAGUCCUCCGGGAAAUCUGACGGCUCAACCGUUAGGCUUUCGGGGGAUACUGCCAGGCUUGGAACCGGGAGAGGUAAGAGGUACUACAGGGGUAGGAGUGAAAUCUUGUAAUCCCUGUGAGACCACCUGUGGCGAAGGCGUCUUACCAGAACGGGUUCGACGGUGAGGGACGAAAGCUGGGGGCACGAACCGGAUUAGAUACCCGGGUAGUCCCAGCCGUAAACGAUGCUCGCUAGGUGUCAGGCAUGGCGCGACCGUGUCUGGUGCCGCAGGGAAGCCGUGAAGCGAGCCACCUGGGAAGUACGGCCGCAAGGCUGAAACUU